AAGACCUUGCGCUUUUGGAGCGGCCGAUGUCUGAUUAGCUUGUUGGUGAGGUAAAGGCUUACCAAGGCUUUGAUCAGUAGCUGGUCUGAGAGGACGGCCAGCCACACUGGGACUGAGACACGGCCCAGACUCCUACGGGAGGCAGCAGUGGGGAAUUUUGGACAAUGGGGGCAACCCUGAUCCAGCCAUGCCGCGUGAGUGAAGAAGGCCUUCGGGUUGUAAAGCUCUUUCGGCCGGAACGAAAUCGCAUCUCCUAAUACGGGGUGUGGAUGACGGUACCGGAAGAAGAAGCACCGGCUAACUACGUGCCAGCAGCCGCGGUAAUACGUAGGGUGCGAGCGUUAAUCGGAAUUACUGGGCGUAAAGCGUGCGCAGGCGGCUCUUCAAGUCAGAUGUGAAAGCCCCGGGCUUAACCUGGGAACU
This 423-nucleotide ribosomal RNA is filed under the name uncultured bacterium. Its description in RNAcentral is "bacterial SSU rRNA". It matches the Rfam family "Bacterial small subunit ribosomal RNA", at positions 207 to 622 of the family's 1533-position model. The record is from RNAcentral.